This is a long non-coding RNA of Varroa destructor (honeybee mite), 351 nucleotides long. RefSeq lists it as uncharacterized. The record is from RefSeq and is a predicted model, not a curated record. Lineage: Eukaryota; Metazoa; Arthropoda; Arachnida; Mesostigmata; Varroidae.
AACUUCAAAUCGUAAAGAGACUUCGUUUUAUGCUAAGAGCCAACAGUCUAGCCUAACGAGUCAAGCACCAGACGUGAAACGUCCCUACGGUUGCCCCUGACCAAUAGCAAGAGUCGGAAGUUUACGUCCUGCUGCAGGUCUGCUCGGUCUUUGGCAAGCCGCCGGAGAGAUUUCAAGAGGUUGUGCCAUCUACGCUUGAAGCGUAAUUUUUUACGUUCUUCUUGUGCUUCAGGCAUUGCCCAAUAACAUCAAUGGGAGAUUGUUGCACAAAGCAGAUUGAUCUUGUGAACUAAUGAACUAUAGUGGUUUAAGGGUUCUUCAAAAUAAAAAGCGUUUAGCAGAUUUGGUCAU